Patiria miniata (bat star) is the source of this 1138-nucleotide long non-coding RNA. RefSeq lists it as uncharacterized. Lineage: Eukaryota; Metazoa; Echinodermata; Asteroidea; Valvatida; Asterinidae. The record is from RefSeq and is a predicted model, not a curated record. The transcript is spliced from 3 exons.
AACGCCGACUUCAAGUACAUGGGCUGUGCCUUCAAGACUGAUUGUACAAAAAAAAGAAAUAUUGCCCGCCUCGUCUGCGACUUUGGAAGAGGGAGUGGAGGGCCGUGGCGUUACGAAGGUAGCAAGCCGUACGCAAGCGGAGGCCAAUGUACGCAGUGCCCAUCUGGAUACGACACUUGUGAUGCGGGAUUGUGCGCCCAAGGAUAGGCAAUGCUGACGGAACCUCAUUCAGUGAAUCACGAGAAUAAUGAUGGAUAGGUAUAUCACAGCACAAAGCCACCACUUUAUUAGCAUUAUAACUAAAGAUGCACGAUUCAGUAAUUUGUUGUUUCUUUUAAUUAUAAGUGAAAUGUUGUAAUUGAUAUCUGUUCUUUAGAUUUUCCUCUAAGAACUUAACUUUACCAUAUUAAGGUGGUGGGAGUUCCUGGGCCUUAUGAUCCGGAAUGUAUGAGGCCUCUCGCAAUUCGAAGCAAACUGUUCCCGAUUUUCCUCAUCUUUGGUAGUUCAAUGUUGGUAUAUAGAACUUCAUUGUAUGUGAGCUUCUAUUUCAUUCAUUUAAAAUGUUGGUACAAGUAUUAACUUGUCAAAAAUCUUGUGAACCAUUUCGGUGUCAUGAAAUUAAACCCGAAAGUCAUAAACGGUGGUGUCCGGAAAUUGGAAAUGCUCAAAAUCGGGUAAAUGUUUGCCUAUGCUUAAGCGAACCCGUAACAUUUCUUUAAAGUAGAUCCAUUAUGCUAGAAAAUCAUUUCCACUCAUUUAACCAAAGUACCACAUGUUUGUCCGAAUUAUUUCUUUAUUUGUUAUAUUUGUUUAUUUGUUUAUUUGUUUAUCUCUUUAUCUCUUCAUUUCUUUAUUUCUUUAUUUCUUUAUUUCUUUAUUUCUUCACAAAAAGCUGCUUUAAACAACUUUACGAAGAUGAUAAUGGUUAAAUAUACUAUUAAUUUUGCAUAAUUGGUAAAACAUAUGGUUAAGAUGCUGAUUAGGAAGGUACGAUUGAUUUUAAUUUAGACAAGCACUCUAAUGUGAUUCUCGUGAAAUAGAGAUUAAUAUUGCAAGUAUAAGAGUUGUCAGCUUAUGAACUUGUGUGACAAUGAUGAUGUAACGCAUGCAUCAUUAAACUCAAUCAAGUGGUGACUCA